Molecule: non-coding RNA, 86 nt
Organism: Ixodes scapularis (black-legged tick)
Lineage: Eukaryota; Metazoa; Arthropoda; Arachnida; Ixodida; Ixodidae
Source: Rfam
CGUCCAGUGGCCGCGAGAUAUGUUUGAUAUUCUUGGUUGUGCCACGAACCAACCAGGAGUCAGACAUAUGCUCGCGGAGCUGGUCC